UACGAAGGGGGCUAGCGUUGCUCGGAAUCACUGGGCGUAAAGCGCACGUAGGCGGAUUGUUAAGUCAGGGGUGAAAUCCUGGAGCUCAACUCCAGAACUGCCUUUGAUACUGGCGAUCUCGAGUCCGGGAGAGGUGAGUGGAACUGCGAGUGUAGAGGUGAAAUUCGUAGAUAUUCGCAAGAACACCAGUGGCGAAGGCGGCUCACUGGCCCGGUACUGACGCUGAGGCACGAAGGUCAGGGGAGCAAACGGG
This 253-nucleotide ribosomal RNA is filed under the name uncultured bacterium. Its description in RNAcentral is "partial 16S ribosomal RNA". It matches the Rfam family "Bacterial small subunit ribosomal RNA", at positions 524 to 776 of the family's 1533-position model. The record is from RNAcentral.